This 301-nucleotide ribosomal RNA is filed under the name uncultured bacterium. RNAcentral's name for it is "partial 16S ribosomal RNA". It matches the Rfam family "Bacterial small subunit ribosomal RNA", at positions 509 to 809 of the family's 1533-position model. The record is from RNAcentral.
CAGUCGCCGCGGUAAUACGAAGGGUGCAAGCGUUACUCGGAAUUACUGGGCGUAAAGCGUGCGUAGGUGGUGGUUUAAGUCCGUUGUGAAAGCCCUGGGCUCAACCUGGGAAUUGCAGUGGAUACUGGGUCACUAGAGUGUGGUAGAGGAUAGUGGAAUUUCCGGUGUAGCAGUGAAAUGCGUAGAGAUCGGAAGGAACAUCUGUGGCGAAGGCGACUAUCUGGGCCAACACUGACACUGAGGCACGAAAGCGUGGGGAGCAAACAGGAUUAGAUACCCGCGUAGUCCCUGUCUCUUAUAA